UACAGAGGGUGCGAGCGUUGUCCGGAAUCACUGGGCGUAAAGGGCGCGUAGGCGGCCUGAUAAGUAGGGGGUGAAAUCCUGUGGCUUAACUGCAGGGCUGCCUCCUAGACUGUUAGGCUCGAGCACGGUAGAGGCAGAUGGAAUUCCCGGUGUAGCGGUGGAAUGCGUAGAGAUCGGGAAGAACAUCGGUGGCGAAGGCGGUCUGCUGGGCCGUUGCUGACGCUGAUGCGCGAAAGCUAGGGGAGCGAACGGG
RNAcentral lists this ribosomal RNA (253 nucleotides) under uncultured bacterium. Its description in RNAcentral is "partial 16S ribosomal RNA". It matches the Rfam family "Bacterial small subunit ribosomal RNA", at positions 524 to 776 of the family's 1533-position model. The record is from RNAcentral.